AUCCAAUGAUCAACAGAGUAUGCUGCGUCUGCAUGGGAAGGAAGUUUGUUCCCAUCUUGAGGAUAAUUGGUGUGAAGUCCUACCUUCUCAAAGAACACCAACUUUUUCAACAGGUUUGACAUAGUCUCCUGUAUUCAGCCAGUGGAAGUCUCUACUUAGAGUGAACUCCAUCCAUUGUCUGCUCCAAAAUGGUCUGGACUAUGCAGAAUCAACUCUCCACAACCACAAUCGAGUUUUAGCAGUGUCUUUUGAGAUCCAUUUGUCAUCUGUGUUGCACCAGCAGAAAAUCAUCUUUCUGGAUCAUAUUCAAGAGACAUUGACCAUGUUCUUUGAAUGGUACUUGAAACAAUAGUCCUAGCUGCUGUAACUGUGAUGGUCUGGAG
RNAcentral lists this long non-coding RNA (383 nucleotides) under Apteryx owenii (little spotted kiwi). Its description in RNAcentral is "lncRNA (ENSAOWG00000003081.1)". Lineage: Eukaryota; Metazoa; Chordata; Aves; Apterygiformes; Apterygidae. The record is from RNAcentral.